This 498-nucleotide ribosomal RNA is filed under the name uncultured bacterium. RNAcentral's name for it is "partial 16S ribosomal RNA". It matches the Rfam family "Bacterial small subunit ribosomal RNA", at positions 28 to 508 of the family's 1533-position model. The record is from RNAcentral.
GACGAACGCUGGCGGCGUGCCUAAUACAUGCAAGUUGAGCGAUGAAGAUUGGUGCUUGCACCAAUUUGAAGAGCAGCGAACGGGUGAGUAACGCGUGGGGAAUCUGCCUUUGAGCGGGGGACAACAUUUGGAAACGAAUGCUAAUACCGCAUAACAACUUUAAACACAAGUUUUAAGUUUGAAAGAUGCAAUUGCAUCACUCAAAGAUGAUCCCGCGUUGUAUUAGCUAGUUGGUGAGGUAAAGGCUCACCAAGGCGAUGAUACAUAGCCGACCUGAGAGGGUGAUCGGCCACAUUGGGACUGAGACACGGCCCAAACUCCUACGGGAGGCAGCAGUAGGGAAUCUUCGGCAAUGGACGAAAGUCUGACCGAGCAACGCCGCGUGAGUGAAGAAGGUGUUCGGAUCGUAAAACUCUGUUGGUAGAGAAGAACGUUGGUGAGAGUGGAAAGCUCAUCAAGUGACGGUAACUACCCAGAAAGGGACGGCUAACUACGUGC